AAAGAUUUAGUUAAAUUUAUAACAUUAGAAUGUCAAACUAAAAUUAUUCUUUGAAUAAUCUUUU
This 64-nucleotide transfer RNA is filed under the name Lachesilla anna. Its description in RNAcentral is "tRNA-Asp". The record is from RNAcentral. Lineage: Eukaryota; Metazoa; Arthropoda; Insecta; Psocodea; Lachesillidae.